Homo sapiens (human) is the source of this 1383-nucleotide long non-coding RNA. NCBI's taxonomy places the organism in Eukaryota, Metazoa, Chordata, Mammalia, Primates, Hominidae. The record is from Ensembl.
CUCUCUGCCGGGGGUCGCCCUGCCCGGAGCAGUCGCGCGGAGACUGCGCGGCCUCCGCCUCUACGCGCUCGCGGUCGCCGCUCCUCUCCCGCCUUUGUUCUCGGGUCGCCCCUCUCGCUGGUGGCGCUCCGAGAGAGCAGCGGAGCCACCUGCCCAGGCCACGCUUCCCCGAGCAUCCGCAGCUGCACCCGGGGGCUGUCGGCGCCCGCCCCGGAGCGUGCGGGAGGCACAGCGGGAAGAAGUCGCUGAGAUUCGGCCCUCGUGGCUUUGCGUGCCCGCGUGGUUGAUGCCUCCGCCGAGAACGCGGUCGGCCGGGAGCCGGGGAGGAGCGUGGACGCCGGCCUGGCAGGUACCCCCGCGAGAACGUGGGAGCCGGUGUAUUUCAGCUGCAUUUAUUACUGAUCUCGGGCUGCACCAGGGCACUUGUAGGACCGCACUAAAAACAGCGGAAAGUGAGGAGCCAAGCCUGGGUCCGGGGCGGCCCGCCGUACAGCUGGCCUCACGGAUUCCACUGCCUGCGCCUGCAGAUGACUUGUUCUGGAGAGUAGAGAAUGUUCUCGGAUUUAAAGUACAAUCCGGUUUCCUUUCCAUUCAUUAUAGUUGCCUACACUCAACAAACAAAAGUUGGGAAAGAUAAAGGGAUUAUUCUAGCGCGUCACAUUGACAAACACCGACGUUAACACGCUCAGUCCAGCCUGACUCACUUGCCUCAGGUCAGAGAGGUCACCACUGACGACGCCGGGCCCUCAAGCCGAUCCUAAUCCAGCUUGGUUCUCUCAGCCUCAGCCAGACCAUCCGUUCUUGCCUCUGUCCCACCACGUGCAGGUGUAAGCUUCCGCCGCACUUCUUGUCUGAAUCUGCCAAGAAGAAACUGCAUCUUUCAGCUAAAUUCUUUUCACUGAUCAGGGUAGAGUUUAGCGGUUUUUUUUUUAAGAAAAAAAACAAAAACAAAAAAAAACUCUUAAGCUAUUUGGUACUCCUCUCCCUCCGGGAUUCUGUCUCUAGAUUGUGAAAGCUGUCAGAGAAUGGAGUCAGGGAAAGCCGUGAUGGGAAAGUUCUCACUAAUAAUUGCCUGAUAUAAAGAAUUAGCACAAAAGACUGCCAAAACCACAACCUUGCACAAAGGCCACAAAACUACACAAAAAAAUGCUUCAAGGACAUUUGCGCAGCAACUGCCUGUCCAACCUUGGACUGGCCAUCCCCUUUGUUACUGAUCUUUGUAGCCAAGGAUAAUUGUUUCAAAACAACUUACGUAAUCCUCCUCGUUUUUCCUUUUAAACCCCUUAUCUUCCUUUACCUCCCUGAAUACACCUAUAGUUUACUAUGACACCAUAUUCUACAUUGCAAUGCCCACUUUCAAAUAAAUUUGUCAUGUUUGGCAAA